Molecule: ribosomal RNA, 253 nt
Filed under: uncultured bacterium
Lineage: Bacteria
Description: partial 16S ribosomal RNA
Rfam family: Bacterial small subunit ribosomal RNA
Source: RNAcentral
UACGGAGGGUGCAAGCGUUGUCCGGAUUUAUUGGGUUUAAAGGGUGCGUAGGCGGCUUGAUAAGUCCGUGGUGAAAGCCAACAGCUCAACUGUUGAACUGCCAUGGAUACUGUCGGGCUUGAGUACAGACGAGGUAGGCGGAAUGGAUGGUGUAGCGGUGAAAUGCAUAGAUACCAUCCAGAACACCGAUUGCGUAGGCAGCUUACUAGGCUGUAACUGACGCUGAGGCACGAAAGCGUGGGGAGCGAACAGG